CAUGAGAAAGGACCCAACUUUGGCCUUCAAGUGAGUUGAUGGUGUUGAGGGAGUGAACCUGGGAUCCUGGGAUUCACUGCUGAACCCUCUGGAGGUGUCGUGGCCCUAUCAGUGAAACACGCAAGAAGGAGGGCACUCACUUGACAACCCAAAGGAUGCCAUCACUCACUUCACCAUCCCACAGAGUCUCAUCAGUGCCUCAAGUAUGUACCCAAUGAGAGAUAUCAACAUCAGUCAUACACAACAAAUUAGUUCAAUGUAGUUUAAGUAGAUAUUAGAGGAGUCUGAUUUGGUAAAACCAUUGUAUGUGUUUGUAAACUCCUGCAAAAGCCGGUGCUCUACAGGCCAGGCUACACUUACAUCAGUACUUUUUGAGGGAUCAGGGUUUGAAGCAGAGGAAGUUAAGGGUUAUGUGGCUUUCAGUCAGUCAUACAAAGUAAUUUAAGACAGAUUUAGGUGGGCUGUUUUCAAGGUCAUGGCAAAUGGAGGUGCUGGGAGAGGUAUGGGUCAGUGGUGUGGACCUGAGAAAGGAAGUCACUGUGAUAAAUCCACUACGGGUGCUGUGGCAGCUCUUGAAAUAUAACAGCCUUUUCCCAGCUCUGUUGUUUUCUUUUGCCAUUUCGAGCCACAUAAUGAAAUGUGCCCACAGCUUUGUCUAGCUGCUGAAGAUAUAGAGUAACCAUGAGGGACAGUGGUGAAGUGUUUGCUUUACCACUUUAAACAGCUAAAAUAAACACCAGCGUUCAUUAGCGCACAGCCAUUACUUCCAGCUAUGUCAUUCACAAGAUCCAGAGUCAAAUCUCUCAGGUUACUCUGCUACUGUCAAAUGUCAUGUUUUACAACUGCUGGCUUUUAUUGUAGGUCCUGUGGCUUCUAUACAACGGGCCUCACAGCGGUAUGCGCUUUAACACCCACCCUGCUUCGCUCACAUGCGGCCGCAGUGACUCGUUGUGUAAUGGAGACAGUUAUAUCAGGGCCGAUGCUCUCUGGCAGUGCGGACAUGCCGCUAUGAGUGCAUGUUGUUAUUGGAAAAAGCAGAGAGCUGAGCGAGGUCAGGGCUGCUGCGUAGCACCUCAUCAGUCAGCCCAACAGCCCAGAGGAGGGAUUGUUUAAAUUUGGCUCCGCUCCCUCGUCUUGAGUUACGUCCAGAUGGUCGAUGAGAAAGUUGAGAGACGGGGGUCUCGCUUGGUCGAGUGUUCAGAGAGUCACUUCUUCAAUUUAAAAACGGCCAAUCAUUUCAUAUGACGUCCAAAUGCUUCUUCUAUAGACAAAAAACACCCCUCCUGAUACUCAUAACUCACUGUUCCUUUAAAGUUCACUUCACAAGGUCACUAAACCGGGGUCUGGCUUCUCUCUGAGAAAUUGUAGUGUGUCCUAAGCCAGAUGGCCUCCUACACCACAUGAGAAGUGGUUUCACCUGCAAGGCAAUCAGACAUUUGGAGUGUAGGUACCUUUUCUCUGAAAACAAGCUGACAUGUGGCUGGUUCUGUGUUUUAUCGCUGAACAUCCAGUAAAUGUUUCCAUAUGCUCUUUGUUUACAGUCCCACUGGUUUUCCUUGCUGUGUUCUCCAGUGACAUGUUGAACCAAACCUGCUGUUCUCAAUCAGAGAUGUGGAGCUUUUUGACAUUCAUUAUGAUUUUAUGUCACGUCUUACAGUGUUUCAAGUUCAGAGGAAAAGUCAACUGUAUAAAGUCUACAUAGUUUAUUCAUACAUAUCAUUUCUCCCUCAGCUGGAACAGGAUCUCCUGCCUGUACCAGACAUAUCGCUUACAAAGUAAUCAGUAAUGUGAUGUCUUGUUUAUAAUCUUUUAACUUAAGUAUUAACAGAUAUAGUAAAGACUGUCUAACAAGUAUAAACCACAGCUAAUUUGAAGUAUUAAAACUCCAUUCUAUUUUGAUUAGUAAUGAGUGAAAGUGGCCUGAUUGAGAUUUGAAAGGGUCUUUAAUGAACUUUGAAGUCUCCCUCAACCUUCUUUUGAAACUUUUUUUAGACUUUGCUACGACUGACUUGUUGACAGGAACUUUACGAAGUGUACCAAACCUGACAGAGAACAGUCAUAGCUGUGUCCGGCUCUGUCGCAUACAUUCACAAGAAAAAACAAAGCACGACUGUUGCUGAGUAACACACCUCUGUCCAGUCUGCCAGAUUGCACCGAUAACGGAACAACCAAAUUGAACUAUGUGCAAGCAGAAAUUUGUGGAGUUGUGUAGAGCACAUCAGUUCUUAGUGUGAAACUGAACACUGAUACAAACAAAGAAACAAAGGCGAAGGACAGCGCUGUAUUCCAGUCCAGUUCACAAAGUUACAAUACCAUCUGUAUAGUUUAGAGGAGGCCUGCUGGUCUGACUACUUAAACAUGUGCCUGUUCAAUCCAAGUUACUAUCAGUUGUAGCACAAACAAAGCUGAAUGAGAAGUUUUUAAUCCUUGAGCAUUAAAAAAUAACCUCCAAAGUCUUUUGCUUGAAAUGAGGCCAAAAUAUAAAUCUCAACUCAUCACUGUGCUGAUCCAAGGAAACGUGAAUUAUACCGUCUUCUCUUUAUUUAUGAUUUGGCAAGGUUUUUAAAAUCAUUUUUGGCAAACUGCAGUGUUAUUUUUGGGUCUGUCAAACUUUAAAUAUUUCAAAUUACGAUAAAUCACAGACUUUCAAUCAUAAAUUUGGAAGAAAGCACUAUGAAUUGCAUGUUUCAAAUUUUUAGUGUUUUGCAUGCCGGAACAGCUUUCAAGUCUAAAUUAAUGAUAAAAAGCAAUCCUUGGUGUCUUUGAUGUGAAAAUCAAACGAAUACAAAGAAACAUACUCUAUGAUCUUGACUUUAACUUUAUUUUUCAUUUUAAUGCUGUGAUGAAAAUGAAAUUAAACUAUGAUACAAAGGUAGGAAACGGCUUAAAAGUGCCUUUUCUUUCCUAAAACAUUUAUUUUUUUAAAUAAAAACACUGCUAACAUAAACAAGUAUUAACAUGUGGGGUGUUUAUGGCCUAGUGGUCCAAGCGCCCCACAUAUGAAGGUUAUAGUCCUCAUCACUCUUUGGCUAUCCAGUCUAAUAAAGGUAAAAACAUUUAAAAGUAUGAAUUAAAAAAACAAAAUAUGAAUAUGCAUGUAAAAAAAUGUCACUCUAGAUGAGUGUCAAUAUGGUGUGUUCAUAUGCUGAGAUAAUUUUAAUAACUCUCUUACAUCCUGUAAACCCUGUUUAAUGCAACAACAUUAGCAUUUUUCAGGAUUUCUAGUUUGAGUUUUUGUUUCUGUUCUUCCUUUUUCUUCUUUUCAGUGAGAGGGCAGAUAACCAGCAGCCGUGCCUCAUUAAAAGGCUCCUCUCCUCUCUGGUUGUACCUGAUUUAACUGCAGAGGAAAGCGGACAAACAGCCACACAGAGACGCAGACCGAGCUGCUGUUUUGUGAGACACAGUGGGGAGCCGUACACUGUGAUAGGAGGUCACAAGGAGCCUACAGGAUGCAGCAGGUGGGGAGCGAAGUCCGGUGAACCAGAUGAUGUUGAUGUUGGUGAUGAUAAUGAGGCAUUGCAGUGUGACCUGGAAGUCUUACUCAAAAAUAGAGAGGGGAAAAUAAGACACAGUGCAGAAGAAAGACUAAAAAACACUCAGAGAGAAGAAAACCACAUUGGAUCAGCCAGUUUGAGACAGGAGAAAAACAGAUGACAAAGAAAAGUUAAUACAGGGUCAGUCGAGAGAGAGAGGAGACAGAUUUUGACUCAGAGAAAAAGAAACAGACAAAGAUGAGUAUCA
RNAcentral lists this long non-coding RNA (3741 nucleotides) under Xyrichtys novacula (pearly razorfish). Lineage: Eukaryota; Metazoa; Chordata; Actinopteri; Labriformes; Labridae. The record is from RNAcentral.